AGAGUUUGAUCCUGGCUCAGGAUGAACGCUAGCGGGAGGCUUAACACAUGCAAGUCGAGGGGUAUGAUUAGCAAUAGUCAGAGACCGGCGCACGGGUGAGUAACGCGUAUGCAACCUGCCCUUUACAGGGGGAUGGCCCGUCGAAAGGCGGAUUAAUACCCCAUAAUAUUGUACUACUGCAUGGUAGAACGAUAAAAGUUUCGGCGGUAAAGGAUGGGCAUGCGUGACAUUAGCUGGUUGGUAGGGUAACGGCCUACCAAGGCUACGAUGUCUAGGGGUUCUGAGAGGAAGGUCCCCCACACUGGUACUGAGACACGGACCAGACUCCUACGGGAGGCAGCAGUGAGGAAUAUUGGUCAAUGGGCGGGAGCCUGAACCAGCCAUCCCGCGUGCAGGAAGACGGCCCUAUGGGUUGUAAACUGCUUUUGUGCAGGAAGAACGCUCGAUACGUGU
Molecule: ribosomal RNA, 453 nt
Filed under: uncultured bacterium
Lineage: Bacteria
Description: bacterial SSU rRNA
Rfam family: Bacterial small subunit ribosomal RNA
Source: RNAcentral